Long non-coding RNA from Vespa crabro (European hornet), 410 nucleotides. RefSeq lists it as uncharacterized. The record is from RefSeq and is a predicted model, not a curated record. Lineage: Eukaryota; Metazoa; Arthropoda; Insecta; Hymenoptera; Vespidae. The transcript has 2 exons.
CAAACAUUACUAAUCUUUCCUAUCACGAAUAAACUUGAAGUAAUCUGAACACAGUAUAUGAAUGCAAUAUCAUAUCUAACGACUAUAGAGGGCAGAUCAACGGACAAUUGAAACACAUUCAAGUUUGGUGGUAACAAUGAAGAAUACCUUACUUCGAACGAAACCAUGUGAUUCACCUAUAAUGCUUAAUAUUGUUCCUAUGUAAUGUGUAUGUCCAGUUAUGUAAUAAGAGAUAUUAAUUUUUUUAUCAGAGAAAACAGUAACAUAAUGUGUUUCAUAUAAUCUUUUGCAACAAUGAAAAGUAAAAAGUGUUAUGGCUAAAAAUCCACAUUCUGGUGAUACUAAAAAUCGAAAUAUAUAAUACAUCAAUUAUAACAAACAAAUAAAAUAAUAUAAUAUAGCAAUAAAAU